Myotis daubentonii (Daubenton's bat) is the source of this 1675-nucleotide long non-coding RNA. RefSeq lists it as uncharacterized. The record is from RefSeq and is a predicted model, not a curated record. NCBI's taxonomy places the organism in Eukaryota, Metazoa, Chordata, Mammalia, Chiroptera, Vespertilionidae.
AUGAGUCACAGAGAAGAAAUACACACAAGAACAUCUGACCUCAGUGGACGGGGAAAACUAAUAAAAGUCACUGGCAAGGGCUUCCGGGCAGCCAAAGCGAAGCCAGGACUACGGAUGUCACUGCUGCUCACGGCUGCCUCCCCCGCAGAGGCAGCGCAGACAAGGAGAGAGUGGAAGGGAAGGAGGGAGGAGGAGAGAGAGAGAAACCCAGCCCCAUCUGUACAUUAGAAGAAGCAGAAAGGAAAGCAGUUGGGAGCAAAGUGAAUGUGACCAUUGUGCUCCCACAUGUCCACCGUCUCGCUCCACCGCCAGCGGACACUGUCUCCUUCACUGACCUCUGCCAUCUUCACUUGUCUGAUAAAAGACCGACUCACCUAAAGCAACAGAAUAGCCCUCUAAAAAUUAAUAAGACCACAGAGUGCCUAUGAUACUAUCUUUCCUUCAUCUCAGAUUCUUACUGAGAAGCCCUUCUAAGAGCAAAAGAUUCUUAGGAGUUUUGUGACCAGUGAGUCUGAAGGAGGGAAUGGGGAGGGGAAGAGAAAAAGGAGAUUGAAGCACUAAUGACAACUGGGCCGUUCAUUCCUUUCCUUACAAGUUUCGGGUUCAGGAAGCUGAGCCCUUGUGUGGGACAGGCGAUCCUUUUGGCCCAGCUCCCUGCUGAUGUCUCCUCCUCCGAGGAAUUCCCAAACUUGUCCCCAAACCGAGUCCUCUUGGGUCAGUGGUUAACAGCUCUACCACCCAGCCGAAGGCAGGUGGAGCGGAGACGAAGGCAACAGGAGAGGGGAGAGGGAAGCCCCGCCCGCCCCUUCCCGCGAGCAGCGGCCCCUGCCUCUGUCCUGGCCGGACGCCAGUGCUGGGCUCUGAAAGCAUCAGCAGAGAUUCUGCUAUGAACUGGGCAUCGCCUCAAGGCAGAAAACAAAAUGUUGGGAAGAGUUAUUUAAGAAACAAAUUUUCUUUUUAAUGUACAGCUAUCAAUAUUUUAUUUACAUUUCUAUAUUUCUAUAUCAUCCUUGAUCUUAAAGUAAAUCUAUAUUGAACACACUGCAUAUAUUUUACUAAUGUACAUUUAACCUAUGCCAUUCACAUUUUAAUUUAAAAUAUAUUUUGAAAUGUGUAAUAAUGGCUGAGAAAAACUUUUUAAAAAAUAUAUUUUUAUUGAUUUCAGAGAGGAAGGGAGAGGGAGAGAGGGUUAGAAACAUCAGUGAUGAGAGAGAAACACUGAUUGGCUGCCUCCUGCACACCCCCUACUGGGGAUCAAGCCUGCAAUCCAGACAUAUGUCCUUGACCAGAAUCUAACCCAGGACCCUUCAGUCCACAGGCUGAGGCUCUAUAUACAGAGCCAAACCAGCUAGGGCGGCUGAGAAAAACUUUAACCUAGAAUUUCCUGAAACAACCAGAGGCUACGAUGGGGAGCGGGGAGAAGAGCAGGCUGAUGGGCCUCCUGGCCCAUCACAGAGGGGCUGCACAAUCCAGGCGUCGGGGCGGGCCAGUGCAUUUACUCACAGCACGCUCUUCCACGCUCAGAGGAGUCGGGUUUGAAUGACAUGCUCUAUGCUGACCCUAAUUUCAGAACAUUAGGGCUUCCUGCACAUGCCGGGGCCCAGGCACAGCUGCCUGCUGACAGAGAUGAGCGUGCCCCGCCAGGGGCUUCAGGGGAGCUCACCAGAGAGGCGCC